AGCCCGAUAGUCUAGCGGUCAAGGAUUCUGCCCUCUGGAGGCAGAGACGGCAGUUCGAAUCUGCCUCGGGCUA
This 73-nucleotide transfer RNA is filed under the name Candidatus Nitrosotenuis chungbukensis. RNAcentral's name for it is "tRNA-Gln". It matches the Rfam family "tRNA". From Rfam's summary of the family: Transfer RNA (tRNA) molecules are approximately 80 nucleotides in length. Their secondary structure includes four short double-helical elements and three loops (D, anti-codon, and T loops). Lineage: Archaea; Thermoproteati; Nitrososphaerota. The record is from RNAcentral. RNAcentral also lists the same sequence under 5 other names.